RNAcentral lists this ribosomal RNA (704 nucleotides) under bacterium SL5.11. Its description in RNAcentral is "bacterial SSU rRNA". It matches the Rfam family "Bacterial small subunit ribosomal RNA", at positions 57 to 747 of the family's 1533-position model. The record is from RNAcentral.
GCAGUCGAGCGAUCUGAGGGAGCUUGCUCCCAAGAUUAGCGGCGGACGGGUGAGUAACACGUGGGUAACCUGCCUGUAAGAUUGGGAUAACUCCGGGAAACCGGAGCUAAUACCGGAUAACAUUUCGAACCGCAUGGUUCGAAAUUGAAAGACGGCUUCGGCUGUCACUUACAGAUGGACCCGCGGCGCAUUAGCUAGUUGGUGAGGUAACGGCUCACCAAGGCGACGAUGCGUAGCCGACCUGAGAGGGUGAUCGGCCACACUGGGACUGAGACACGGCCCAGACUCCUACGGGAGGCAGCAGUAGGGAAUCUUCCGCAAUGGACGAAAGUCUGACGGAGCAACGCCGCGUGAACGAUGAAGGCCUUCGGGUCGUAAAGUUCUGUUGUUAGGGAAGAACAAGUACCAGAGUAACUGCUGGUACCUUGACGGUACCUAACCAGAAAGCCACGGCUAACUACGUGCCAGCAGCCGCGGUAAUACGUAGGUGGCAAGCGUUGUCCGGAAUUAUUGGGCGUAAAGCGCGCGCAGGCGGUUUCUUAAGUCUGAUGUGAAAGCCCACGGCUCAACCGUGGAGGGUCAUUGGAAACUGGGAAACUUGAGUGCAGAAGAGGAGAGUGGAAUUCCACGUGUAGCGGUGAAAUGCGUAGAGAUGUGGAGGAACACCAGUGGCGAAGGCGACUCUCUGGUCUGUAACUGACGCU